This 26-nucleotide non-coding RNA is filed under the name Homo sapiens (human). The record is from RNAcentral. Lineage: Eukaryota; Metazoa; Chordata; Mammalia; Primates; Hominidae.
UGGAGCCUGAGGCCAGCUGUCUCUCC